GAUGAACGCUGGCGGCAUACUUAACACAUGCAAGUCGGACGGGAAGGGGUUUUUCGAGUGGCGGACGGGUGAGGGACGCGUAAGAACCUGCUCUUGGGAGGGGAACAACAACUGGAAACGGUUGCUAAUAGCCCGUAGGCUGAGAAGCAAAAGGGGGGAUCCGCGCGUGGGGGGGCUCGCGUCUGAUGAGCGAGUUGGUGAGGUAGUAGCUUACCGAGGCGAGGAUCAGUAGCUGGUCCGAGAGGAUGAUCAGCCAGACGGGUGCUGUGCCGCGGCCCCUACUCCGGCGGGAGGCAGCAGGGGAGAAUGUACAGCAGUGGGAGACCGCCUGAAGGAACAAUGCCGCGGGGAUGUAGAACGCCGGCUUGUCGUGAACUUCCUUUCGCGGAGAAGAGACAAUGACGGUAUCUGAAGAAUAAGCACCGGCUAACUCUGUG
Molecule: ribosomal RNA, 437 nt
Filed under: uncultured bacterium
Lineage: Bacteria
Description: partial 16S ribosomal RNA
Rfam family: Bacterial small subunit ribosomal RNA
Source: RNAcentral